RNAcentral lists this long non-coding RNA (871 nucleotides) under Brachypodium distachyon (stiff brome). RNAcentral's name for it is "long non-coding RNA (BDIS_LNC000653)". The record is from RNAcentral. Lineage: Eukaryota; Viridiplantae; Streptophyta; Magnoliopsida; Poales; Poaceae.
GCAAACGAUUGAUCUCCUCACCAAUGGCCUUUCGCUUUUGUUCUGAAAAACACCGCAUCGAUUGCCUGAUGGGUUUGGCAUGCUCGUCCACAUGCAAAGAGUGCUCGGCGAGUUCCCUGGGAAUACCCGGCAUAUCGGAUGCUACCCAGGCAAAAAAAUUCCAAUUCUCACGCAGGAACUCGAUGAGCGCGCUUUCCAAUGAGGGAGGAAGACUCGAGGACACCAGCACUGUUUUACUGGGAUCCGUCGGGUGUACCUGAUGCUCCGUCGUGUCGCUCUUCGUGCUGAACUCCAUCUGUUGUGGCACUUUCUUCGUCAUGGGAAGUACGUCGUUGUCCGUCGUUGUAACAUCCCAAAAUCUCAAACUUUUACAUGUGCAUUGGAUCCAUGAGCAUCAUGCCACAACUGCAUAUUUAAAUUCAAAAUUUGAAUCUCAAAAGGCCUUAAAAGACUUUUUUUACACCCAUUUAAGCUUUGGAUUUUCAAACCAAUAGGGUUUAUGUAAAAAAAGGGGUUUAUUGCAUAAAUAACCUAUCCCAUAAUUUUUGGAUAAUUAUUUGGAGUUGAAAAAGUAUUUUAUUUAAAUAGAUAUAUAGCCCUAAAGGCAUUUAUAGGGCAAAUGUAUUUUUAUAUAUUUUAUUUUGAGGGGAAACUACUCAAAAAAGUUGUAUCAUGGUAAAACAUGAUUUUAGAAAUUUUCUGGAAUUUAUUUGGACCAAUUUGGAGUUCAAAAUCAAAAGAUAUCAAAGAAAUGAGAAAAACAGAAAAAGAAAAGGCUAAAGAAAAAAAAUAGAACGGACCGACCCACUGGGCCGGCCCGCUAAGGCACGAACCGACCGAACCGGCCGUCCGACCGCGCCCGACCGCACCC